Molecule: ribosomal RNA, 202 nt
Filed under: uncultured bacterium
Lineage: Bacteria
Description: partial 16S ribosomal RNA
Rfam family: Bacterial small subunit ribosomal RNA
Source: RNAcentral
UACGGAGGGGGCUAGCGUUGUUCGGAAUUACUGGGCGUAAAGCGCGUGUAGGCGGCUAUGCAAGUCGGAUGUGAAAGCCCUCGGCUCAACCGGGGAAGUGCACCCGAAACUGCAAAGCUAGAGUCUCGGAGAGGAUCGUGGAAUCUCGGUGUAGAGGUGAAAUUCGUAAGAUAUCGAGAGGAACACCGGUGGCGAAGGCGGC